CGGAGUGUGGUGUAACGGCUAACAUUCCUGUUUUGGGAACAGGCGACUCAGGGUUCGAAUCCCUGCACUCCGACAA
This 76-nucleotide transfer RNA is filed under the name Candidatus Tayloriibacteriota bacterium. RNAcentral describes it as "tRNA-Pro". It matches the Rfam family "tRNA". From Rfam's summary of the family: Transfer RNA (tRNA) molecules are approximately 80 nucleotides in length. Their secondary structure includes four short double-helical elements and three loops (D, anti-codon, and T loops). Lineage: Bacteria; Candidatus Tayloriibacteriota. The record is from RNAcentral.